Non-coding RNA from Triticum aestivum (bread wheat), 135 nucleotides. The record is from Rfam. Lineage: Eukaryota; Viridiplantae; Streptophyta; Magnoliopsida; Poales; Poaceae.
GAAAUACUCCCUCUGUCCCAAAAUUCUUGUCUUAGAUUUGUCUAAAUACGAAUGUAUCAAGUCACGUUUUGGUAUUAGAUACAUCCAUAUCUAGAAUAAUCUAAGACACGAUUUUUGGGGCGGAGGGAGUAUAAA